GACGAACGCUGGCGGCGUGCUUAACACAUGCAAGUCGAACGGAAAGGCCCUGCUUUUGUGGGGUGCUCGAGUGGCGAACGGGUGAGUAACACGUGAGUAACCUGCCCUUGACUUUGGGAUAACUUCAGGAAACUGGGGCUAAUACCGGAUAGGAGCUCCUGCUGCAUGGUGGGGGUUGGAAAGUUUCGGCGGUUGGGGAUGGACUCGCGGCUUAUCAGCUUGUUGGUGGGGUAGUGGCUUACCAAGGCUUUGACGGGUAGCCGGCCUGAGAGAGUGACCGGCCACAUUGGGACUGAGAUACGGCCCAGACUCCUACGGGAGGCAGCAGUAGGGAAUAUUGCACAAUGGGCGGAAGCCUGAUGCAGCAACGCAGCGUGCGGGAUAACGGCCUUCGGGUUGUAAACCGCUUUCGCCUGUGACGAAGCGUGAGUGACGGUAAUGGGUAAAGAAGCACCGGCUAACUACGUG
Molecule: ribosomal RNA, 468 nt
Filed under: uncultured bacterium
Lineage: Bacteria
Description: partial 16S ribosomal RNA
Rfam family: Bacterial small subunit ribosomal RNA
Source: RNAcentral